UUUGACAGGCAGAGUGGACAGUGAGAGAGAGAGAGAGACAGAGAGAAAGGUCUUCCUUUUUGCUGUUGGUUCAUCCUCCAAUGGCCGCCGCGGCCGGCGCGCGCUGCAGCCGGCGCACCACGCUGAUCUGAAGCCAGGAGCCAGGUGCUCUUCCUGGUCUCCCAUGGGGUGCAGGGCCCAAGCACUUGGGCCAUCCUCCACUGCACUCCCUGGCCACAGCAGAGAGCUGGCCUGGAAGAGGGGCAACCGGGACAGAAUCUGGUGCCCCGACUGGGACUAGAACCUGGUGUGCUGGCGCCGCAAGGCGGAGGAUUAGCCUGUUGAGCCACAGCGCCGGCCCAGUCAUAGUGAUCUUAAACUCUCUGAUACUUCUGAAAGCUAUGUUAUAUCUUAGUCCAGUUGUGAUGCUUGCUCUUUUGCUUGAUUGCUUUUUUUCUUGCCUUUUAGCAUGUCUUUUCUAGCCUUUUAGCCAGGCACAAUGAAUGAGAUAACAGCAAUGGACAAGACUUGGAGGGCAGGGGAGUUUUCUAAAGGUGCAGGAAACUGUGGUGCUCUUCAUAGGACUGCUGCCCUGGAAAUGCUGAACUCUCCCAAGUGCACACUUGGCCUCCAGUAAUUCACUGAAAUUCUCUUCCAUGUUCCUACUGGUUACCAGCUCCUGUGGCUUCUGCUCCAGCUUUAUGGAUAACUGAAAAACAUGGAAGAGAAAUACAUCAUGUUGGAGGUUUGUAUAAAGAAUUUUACAAAAGGGAAUAGCUGGCACUCUGUUUUUUGCUUUCUUUCUUUCUUUUUUUUUUUUUUAAGAUUUAUUUAUUUUAUUUGAAAGGCAGAGUUACAGAGAGGCAGAGGCAGAGAGGGAGAAAGAGAGUGAAAGAUCUUCCAUUCCCUGGUUGACACCCCAAAUGGUUACAAUGGCUGGAGCUACACUGAUCCUAAGCCAGGAGCCAGGAGCUUCUCCCAGGUCUCCCUUGCAGGUGCAGGGGCCUAAGGACUUGGGCCAUCUUCCACUGCUUUCCCAGGCCAUAGCAGAAAGCUGGAUUGGAAGUGGAGCAGCCAGGACUCAAACCGGCACUCAAAUGGGAUGCCGGCACUGCAGGCAGCAGCUUUACCCCUUUCGCCACCACAUCAGCCCCAAACUUUCUGCUUUCUAAUGCCCUCCUUGGGGCCACACUGCCCAAGUGAGAGCCUCUCACACGAGGCUGCAGUGGCUGGAGUCCCAGUCCUGGUGCAGGAGUUCCCGAGUAUCAGCAUAUCUUUGAAACCUUCAACUUCCUUAUUUCUAAUAUGGAAAUAACUGAGAGCCCCUAUCCUGCAAGAAGGUUCUUGUGAUUGUUAGAACAGUGCCAGCACUAACUAAGCAUGCAACACACAUGAACUCUCAGCUGUUUAAAGCAUUGCCAAGAAAACAGCCAUUUUGAUAGCAGGUGAGAGCAAAUUGUUUCUCUCUGGGAAAGACUGUCACACUGUACUCUGCUUUUGCUGGGUAUUCCCCACAUUGAAGCCCAAAGCUACUUUCCAUUCUGGCAAGCAGCAUGUAACAUUUGAAAGUGGAAUUUCACUUUCGAAUCCAAACUUUCAUUUUUUAAAAAAUAAAAGUGGAAACUUAUAUUUUUUUCAAAGAUUUAUUGAUUUAUUUAAACAGCAGAGUAACAGAGAGAGAGAGAGAGACAGAGAGAGAGAUCUUCCAUCUGCUGGUUUACUCCCCAAAGGCCUGCAGCAGCCAGGCCUAGGGCAGGCUGAAGCCAGGAGCCAGAAACACUAUCUGGGUCUCCCAUACGCAUGGCAGGAAUCCUAGUACUUAGACCACCACCCUUUGCCUCCCAGGUGCAUUAACAGGCAGCUGGAUUGGAAACACAGAGUAGCCGGGACUCGAACCAGGCACUCCCAUAUGGGAUGCAGCCGUUCCAAGUAGUGACUUCACUGAUUGCACCACAACGCCCACCUAGAAAUUUUAAUUUAAAAUAAAAUUACUACAGUGUUUUACUGUUGAAAAACCCAGAUUCUGUUCUGAUAUUUUCCAGAGAGGAUACUUUGAUCAUGUUAGGGUUUGAGCUGAAGCAUGUGCCAUUCCGUAGAUGAGCGUGUGAACUUAUAAAUGAGAUUCUCUCAAAAUAAGAAAUGAAGUGUGCAUGUGCAAACUUCUGUGAUUGGCAGGGACUUUCACAUGGAGGUAGGAUUGGACAGUGUUGAGUCCUCUGCCAUCAGCGGGGUAGCAAGCCCCAAAGAGAGGAGGAUGCUGGGCCCUUCCAAGGUACCCCGGUGCAGUGCAUGGUGAAUCGGAGGCAUGUCCAUGGAGACAGCAUGGAAUGACCUGGAAGGCAACAGAGGCUGUUGGUGGAUGUAGGGGUGACUGAGCCCCAGAGAGGCGACAGCACUGGUAACUCUGUUAUCUUGGCAUGGUGUGGACUUCCUAAAGAGACAGAGGGACCUUGAGGUGCUGGGAGGGAACGGGAGCCCUUGUGCUGAGCCCAAGGGUGUGAUCCGGAAGUGCUGCACAGGACAUGGGUGAACGGAGAAGUCCCAGCCAGUGAAAGGUGGGGCAAGUCCAGCUGGCAUGGGUCAGCAGCGUGCUGGCAGGAGAGGUGCCCAGGCAGGGAGAGGACUGUGUCUGGCCCUCCUAUGAACACCUUGAUCAUCUGACUGCUCCCUUGGAAUCCCCAAGAGAUGGGGAGCCCAAGGCACUCACGCAUGCUCAGAGUCGGUGCUGCCCCUGUUAGCUGUAGCCUCUGGCUGCCUAUCCACAUUCAGCCUGGCACACUGUUGGCUCUUAUUCAGUUUCCCAGCUCACAGGCCAAGAAUCUCAGGACACAAAGCCUAAGUCACUGUCCCAGCUAAUAUGGCUAAAACCACCUCGGGAGCGUGGGACUCUGGAGAUCAUGCUAUGUUACCACUGUCUUUGUGAAUUAAACAUCUUUUGAGGGAUGGGCAUUUAGCAUAGCAGUUAAGAUACCCACAUCCCACAUCAGAGUACCUGGGUUCAAUACCCGGCUCUGGCUCCGGACUCCAGCUGCCCGGUAAUGCGUAUUCUGGGAGGCGGUAGCAAUGGCUCAAGUAGUUGGGUCCUGACUGCUCACACAGGAGACUGGGGUUGAGUUCCUGGCUCCAGCUCAGCCCAGCCCUGGCUGUUAUGGGCACUGGAGACUGAACUAGAGAUGGGAAAUCUUUUUCUCUGCUUCUCACGUAAUAAUAACAAUAAAAGCUUUCUAGAAAAAAUACUUUUUUAGUUUUUACAAGUAGGGAACCCUCCGAAUAUAAGCAUUAAAAGGCCUUCUUUUACUAUUAACCUGGGAUUCUUGGGCUUAAAGGUCUUCUUUUUAGAGUUUUAUUUGUUUGAAAAGCAGAAUGACAGAGAAGGGGGAGAGAAAGGGAUUUUCCAUCUGUUGGUUCACUCCCGGAAUGCCAGCAACAGCUGGGGCUGGGCCAGGCCAAAGCUGAGAUCCAAGAACUCCAUCUGGCUGUCAUAUGUGGGUGCCAGGGAACCAAGUAUCUGGGCCAUCACCCACCACCUUCUCAGGUGCAUUAGCAGGAAGCUGAAUCAGAAGCAUAGGAGGGGCCGGCGCUGUGGCAUAGUGGGCUUAGCCUCCGCCUGUGGUGCCAGCAUCCCAUAUGGGGCUUGUGUCCCGGCUGCUCCUCUUCCAAUCUGGCUCUCUGCUAUGGCUUGGGCAAGCAGUACAAGAUGGCCCAAGUGCUUGGGCCCCUGCUCCCAUGUGGGAGACCCAGAAGAAGGUUCUGCCUCCUGGCUUUGGAUUGGCUCAGUUCCAGCCAUUGCGGCCAUCUGGGAGAGUGAACCAACAGAUGGAAGACCUUUCUCUCUGUCUCUCCCUUUCACUGUAACUCUACUUCACAAAUAAAUACAUAAAUAAAUAAAAUCUUCAAAAAAAAGUGUAGGAGCCAGAACAACCCAGAACUCCAAUACAGGAUAUGGGCAUUCCAACCAGUGGUUUAACCUGCCAAGCUACAACACCCACCCUGAAUCUUCCUUUUAAAAAUGUUAAAUUGCAAGUUUCUGAUGACAAAAACAGCGUAGACUCAUAAUACAAACUUGGAUAGAGGAAAACAAAGAAGCAAUCCAAAAAAAAAUCACCUGUACCAUCCAUAAUUCUAUUUCAUUCUUCUUUUAAACCAAAUUGUAUGGGUACAAAUAAAUAAGGCAAGAAGCAAAGAUUUUCUCCUAUCUCAGAGGCAAUGCCCGUGGAGAGGCACAUCCAGACAGCCCGGCCACUCCUGCUGCUUUCUCUUUGUAUUUGCUGGCAAAUUCUAAGGGCAGAAGGUGGCUGCCACCCCGCGGGUUCUGCUGAGGGUUCCUUCCUGGCUUAUUUACUUAACCUUCUGGUUGGUAUCUGCAGUGUGAUAUUUGAUACGUGGACUAGGCUGCUGCUGCUUUAUCUCACAGCUGUAUCUGCAGGCGGAGCUUUCUGAAGCCAAAGCCUCCUACAAUCGCUCUCUUUAUUGGGAAUGCCUCGGACACCAGGGGGGAGGGAGUACAAAAUAAGACACUGUCCUCCAAUGUGGAGCCCAAGAGAAAAGGCCUCUUGUGUUGGAAUUAGAAUAGAAAUUGCACCAUUUCCUCUCGAAAGGUCUAGCAUGAAAAGAAGCCCGACUCAGAGAUCAGAACAUCAGAGCAGGAGGCUGUGAUAACAGCUCAAGGGCCACGUGCAUGGGAAAGCAAAGCAGGUGUCUUCCUCCCCACCUCAUUCCAAUCCCAUUCAUUGCCAUUACCGGCUCAGUGCACCUGUAAGGGGAUGACUUCCCCAUGGGUGUCAGGGCAGCCCGUGCACACCCCUCACACUCACACCAUGAAGGCUUACAAAUACCUUCCACAUGAGUGGCACGGACCCAAGUCCUUGAGGUAGCACCACUCCCUCCCAGGGUCUGCAUCAGCAGAAAGUUGGAAUCAGAGGCAGAGUAUUGAGCCUAGUUACUCUGACAUGAGAUGUGAACAUCUUAACUGGUAUCUUAACUGCCAGGUUAACUGCCUGCCCCACUAUCCGGCAAUUCUAAACGUGUGUGUAUAUGCAUAUGACACAUCAAUACAAUUAAUAAUUCUUGGCUCAUAGUGUAUUAUUAUCUGCACAUAGACUUUUUGAUUUAUCAUAGUGUAAGGUAUUUUACUUUGUUUUAUUGUAUGUUUUCUUCUGUUCUCAUUUCUAAUCUCAUCUUCUAUUUCCCUCCCUCAAGAUGAACUCUUAUGCAUUAAGGCAGGUAAAACCAUUGUAUAUUUUCUUCCCCCCUCAUUCCUGGGUGUUGCUAUGAUUAAGGGAGCCUGGCUUUUUGCUUCCCAUGGUGACAUCAACCUAUCAGGUGGCCUUCAGGAUACACUUAGCUGACAGCAUUUGUAUGUCUUCCAAUGCUUAUCUUUUUAAAUGCUGGUUUCAGUUGUAAAUAACUUAUUUUCAUGUUGCAGUGCAGCGUGAGUUCUUAUUGUGGGAUAAAUUCUCCAAUUUUGGUUCAGAAACAUACCCGCCCAUAAGUUUUCUCGAAACAGCCAAGACAAGCAUUUCCCUUCACCAUGCCCCCACGUCUCGGCCCCCUUGGACUCAUUUUCCUGAUUGUCACUCAUUUGAGUCAUCUAAAACCUCCUGCGUGAUCAUGGCGUUCCCCUUUGGCCCCUAGCACUGAGAGCAAACUUCCUUCCAGACAAGGGGGGGUGUGUGUGUAUGUGUGUGUGUGUGUGUGAGAUCUCACUCCCAUGGGGCCUCCAGCCUGCUGCCUUUGUGGUUCAGCCUUGCAUUCCAGACACUCUGUGUCACUUUACACCCAGUGCUGCAGCAAGUGGGCAUAGAGAACUGGCGUUGAGUGAAUGUGUGGAUGUGUGUGUUUAGUUUCCUGCGUGCUGUCACCUGGGCUCCAGCAAACAGCACCUCCUGGCCUCUCCUCACUCUCCUUCCUACCUAAUUCUCUCCUAGCCUUCAGUUCCUUGUCCCACCUAUGAUGGAUGGGCUGACCACACACAGGCAAAGGGGUGUGUGUCACAUGUGGAUAGUGGACCAUACAUUUCUGUGGGACACCAUGGCUGUACUUAUCAACCCUAGUGCUGGAAGUGCAGAUGUCCAAGGGUUGACGAGGAUGUCCAUUUUCCAACAUUGUGCGGCAAAUGAAGCCCUAGCUCCUCCUCCUUCUCAGUGGAGACACUUGGAGAUCAGGGCGAAAGAUUUUGCCCCUGGUGCCAUUCGCCCAGGUGGCUCAUACAGAGGUGCACUUGGCUAACACCGAGACCUUGGAAUCCACCCAGGAGUCAGCGGCGCUGGGUGCCUUUGGUGCACUCAUUACUUUGUAACGAGUGAGUUCUGAGUCCAGCUGGUAGGAGACAUAGGUUGAAGCACAGCUUUCUCAUGGAGAUUAGUGGUAAAUGAUAUUUUCUUCAGGUACUUGAUGAAAUUAAUCAUCUUUGCCUUUACCAGUGAAGAGACACCAAGAGGUGCCCUGGAAAAGGCUCAUCCAUCCAUCCUUCCAGAGAAGAGAGCAUGACACAGAGAGGAGUAUGUGCUGAGGCUCGGCCGCGGGGCUGCCUGCAUGCUGUCUGGUGGGACUGACUCUUCUGAGGGAGGGAUGAGGACAGGAGCCUGCAGGACCGGGAGAAGGGGACAGGUGCAGGGGAUCAGGACAUGUCUACCAGGAGUGUCCCUCGAGGGACUAAGCAGAGAGCCACGGCCCCGCCCGUGUGGAACAACAGAGAGAGUUUGGUGAGGAAAUGAGUAACCUUCGCCCAUCACCUUCUCAACGUCCUCCCCUUCCUAUCUCUAACUCUGGGAAUCUUCAGGAUCUACAAGGUGCCUCCCCUGUCUCUUAGGGACAGUGUGACUCACAGGGCCCUUGGAAGCCAAAGUGUAUGGAUCUGAAAAAAAGGAAGUGAGAUCAUACCCUGUUUUGGAAGGAGCACAACUUUGAAAUUGUUUUUGAAAAAGGUUUGUUUAUUGUAUUUGAAAGGCACAGAGAGCUGGCACCGCGGCUCAUUAGGCUAAUCCUCCGCCUUGCGGCGCCAGCACACCGGGUUCUAGUCCCGGUUGGGGCGCCGGAUUCUGUCCCGGUUGCCCCUCUUCCAGGCCAGCUCUCUGCUGUGGCCAGGGAGUGCAGUGGAGGAUGGCCCAAGUACUUGGUCCCUGCACCCCAUGGGAGACCAGGAGAAGCACCUGGCUCCUGCCAUCGGAUCAGCGCGCUGGCCACGGCGGCCAUUGGAGGGUGAACCAACGGCAAAGGAAGACCUUUCUCUCUGUCUCUCUCUCUCACUGUCCACUCUGUCAAAAAAAUAAAAAAAAUUUAAGAAAGGCACAGAGAAAGAGGCAGGGAGAGACACACAGAGACAGAUCUUUCAUCUGUUGGUUCACUCCAAAUGACCGCAACAGCUGGAGCUGUGCUGAUCCAAAGCCAGGAGCCAGGAGCUACUUCUGGGUCUCCUAUGCAGGUGCAGGGGCACAAGCACUUGAACCAUCUUCUUCUGCUUCUUUCCCAGGCCAUUAUCAGGGUGCUGGAUUGCAAGUGGAGCAGCCAGAACUCAAACUGGCUACAGAGGAUGCUGGCACCACAGGACUGGCCCCUGAAAGUUUUAACUGCUUUUUUUUUUUUUUUUUUUGAGA
Non-coding RNA from Oryctolagus cuniculus (rabbit), 7574 nucleotides. The record is from RefSeq and is a predicted model, not a curated record. Lineage: Eukaryota; Metazoa; Chordata; Mammalia; Lagomorpha; Leporidae.